RNAcentral lists this ribosomal RNA (1369 nucleotides) under uncultured bacterium. Its description in RNAcentral is "bacterial SSU rRNA". It matches the Rfam family "Bacterial small subunit ribosomal RNA", at positions 28 to 1381 of the family's 1533-position model. The record is from RNAcentral.
GACGAACGCUGGCGGCGUGCCUAAUACAUGCAAGUAGAACGCUGAAGAGAGGAGCUUGCUCUUCUUGGAUGAGUUGCGAACGGGUGAGUAACGCGUAGGUAACCUGCCUUGUAGCGGGGGAUAACUAUUGGAAACGAUAGCUAAUACCGCAUAACAAUGGAUGACACAUGUCAUUUAUUUGAAAGGGGCAAUUGCUCCACUACAAGAUGGACCUGCGUUGUAUUAGCUAGUAGGUGAGGUAACGGCUCACCUAGGCGACGAUACAUAGCCGACCUGAGAGGGUGAUCGGCCACACUGGGACUGAGACACGGCCCAGACUCCUACGGGAGGCAGCAGUAGGGAAUCUUCGGCAAUGGGGGCAACCCUGACCGAGCAACGCCGCGUGAGUGAAGAAGGUUUUCGGAUCGUAAAGCUCUGUUGUAAGUCAAGAACGAGUGUGAGAGUGGAAAAUUCACACUGUGACGGUAGCUUACCAGAAAGGGACGGCUAACUACGUGCCAGCAGCCGCGGUAAUACGUAGGUCCCGAGCGUUGUCCGGAUUUAUUGGGCGUAAAGCGAGCGCAGGCGGUUUGAUAAGUCUGAAGUUAAAGGCUGUGGCUCAACCAUAGUUCGCUUUGGAAACUGUCAAACUUGAGUGCAGAAGGGGAGAGUGGAAUUCCAUGUGUAGCGGUGAAAUGCGUAGAUAUAUGGAGGAACACCGGUGGCGAAAGCGGCUCUCUGGUCUGUAACUGACGCUGAGGCUCGAAAGCGUGGGGAGCGAACAGGAUUAGAUACCCUGGUAGUCCACGCCGUAAACGAUGAGUGCUAGGUGUUGGAUCCUUUCCGGGAUUCAGUGCCGCAGCUAACGCAUUAAGCACUCCGCCUGGGGAGUACGACCGCAAGGUUGAAACUCAAAGGAAUUGACGGGGGCCCGCACAAGCGGUGGAGCAUGUGGUUUAAUUCGAAGCAACGCGAAGAACCUUACCAGGUCUUGACAUCCCGAUGCUAUUUCUAGAGAUAGGAAGUUACUUCGGUACAUCGGUGACAGGUGGUGCAUGGUUGUCGUCAGCUCGUGUCGUGAGGUGUUGGGUUAAGUCCCGCAACGAGCGCAACCCCUAUUGUUAGUUGCCAUCAUUCAGUUGGGCACUCUAGCGAGACUGCCGGUAAUAAACCGGAGGAAGGUGGGGAUGACGUCAAAUCAUCAUGCCCCUUAUGACCUGGGCUACACACGUGCUACAAUGGUUGGUACAACGAGUUGCGAGUCGGUGACGGCAAGCUAAUCUCUUAAAGCCAAUCUCAGUUCGGAUUGUAGGCUGCAACUCGCCUACAUGAAGUCGGAAUCGCUAGUAAUCGCGGAUCAGCACGCCGCGGUGAAUACGUUCCCGGGCCU